AGAAGCCAAAAAGGCCCAAGUCCACAAGACAGAAAGAAUAGGUGAAAAGUCCAUGUCAUCUCAUUUUUGGAGAUGGACAUGGACAGGGGCUGAAACUGCAGUACCAGCAGAUGGGGAGCUUAAGAAGGAAGCUAGUUCAUGGCACAGCACCCGUAAAGUCCCCAGAAUUGGAGGCACCAGAUUCUUCUGAAAGAAAAGGAGCAAUUCAGCACUUGUCAUGCAGAUAAGAGGUCAACACCCCAGGACGGAGUGAAAACCUAAGAUGAGGAAAUGGAAGAUGAGAGGCAGAGUAGGUUGCCUAAGGUGAUAAGAGGAUGAAAUAACGGCGCGAGAAGUCGAACCCACUCCAGAUCCGCCCAUGCAAGACACAAGAAGCCACAGGAGGAGGAAGGGGCAGGCGGGAACUUAGAGCACCUUGGCGUGCCCAGCCCGGCGCCUACUCCCUCUCCUCUGCGCCGCUGGAGGCCUCGAGUUCGUGUCCUCUCGGCGCCUGCCUGGCUCCCCUUCCGAGGCCGCAGCGCCCUGCCAUGCUGGCCUCCCCGCGCUCUCCCUGAGACCCAAGCCGACUCCCAGGCCGACCCCGCCGCCUGCGCCCAGCUGUGUCGGAUCUACCUGCCCGCGACCGAGGAGCUCAGGGACUGCCCCAGGAGAUGCUGCCUCGCCCGACAGGCGCCCCGGCCCCUGCCACGCCUCCCGCGCCUGGAAAGCACGACAUCCCGCAGGCAGCAUAUCUGAGCCUGCAUCGGCCUGCGGGAGUCCAGCCCGAGCCAUUUUCCUGCCUGUCCCCACUCCUGACAGCCUGUGCCCAGUUCCCCUCAGCUCUCCCAUGGUUCUCCAACGGUCCUUUCUGGGAACCCUUACAGCUUGGAGAUCGUCUCACGGUGACCAGGGUGUUUCUGAGUUGUGUGUGUGUGUGUGUGUGUGUGUGUGUGUGUGACCACUGGAAUGUCAGAAUCCCCCAUCCCUACCUUGGAAGUCCCGCUUUUUCCUCCCUACUGUUAAGGAACUUCAGACUGCCCCUCCACAAGGUUGCCUGCCUGGGCAGUCAUCCAACUCCAUGUCCACCGCAAGGACAGUGGGGACAGUGCACCAAGACACAAGGACCAGGCUGGACCCUAAGAUGCUCCGAACACCUGGGCAGCUGUUCCAGACACACCGUCCCAUUUUUCAGGAUGGCACCUGUUUCCUGUUAGAGAUUUCUUAAGGGAGAUUGUGAAUAAUCACCAGUGAUUUUAGUGGCAGCCAAGUGACACUGAAGCUUGGCAGAUGUCUGUCAAAACCAGCUACGGGACUGGACAGCGAGGACCAGGAGAAAAAUGUUUGUUUUUUUUAAAAGAUACUCUGGUAUUCGUAUGACAAGACCCAUUUUGUUAUGCCCAAGAACAAGGGGAGAACCUCAUCUUCGCCAUACUUGAGUCUGACUCAGUGUGGCUGUGACUCAUCCUUCUAGGACAGUUCCCCUGCCACAAUAGCGCAAAUGAUGGCCUGGGGACUAAAAUGACUUUGUCAAACAGUUGAAUGGAGAGAAAGUGGUAGAGUUGCCACCUAAUGCCAAGAACCCCCCCACCCCCGAGCUUUUCCUUUUUUUUUUUUUUUUGAGACUGAGUUUCGCUCUUGUUGCCCAGGCUAGAGUGCAAUGGCACGAUCUUGGCUCACUGCAACCUCCACCUCCCGGGUUCAAGCGAUUCUCCUGCCUCAGCCUCCCGAGUAGCUGAGAUUACAGGCAUGCGCCACAUGCCUGGCUAAUAUUUUUGUAUUUUUAGUAGAGACGGGGUUUCUCCAUGUUGGUCAGGCUGGUCUUGAACUCCCGACAUCAGGUGAUCCGCCUGCCUGGGUCUCCCAAAGUGCUGGGAUUACAGGCGUGAGCCUCCACGCCCGGCCAGCUUUUCCUUUUAAGCUGUUCUCUUUAAGUUCAUUGUAGCCAGGUUUCAUGGCGAGGCACCAUGAUUUAUACCACUGGCCCUGGAUCCCCUCACGUGUUUAUGUGACAAACUGGCACCUGUAUAUUAACAAGCUUUACAUUUGGCAAGACAUAGGUAACACCAGAAAUCAAAGUGAGGGGCUUCUGGCAGGAUUUCACAUCUGCUAGCUUUUAUAUUUGAUGCUUUCUCUAGGAGCUUGGCAAAAAGAAAACACCAACAUCAAAAGUAAAAAAAUCAAAUCAAAACAAAAAAAUCAAACCAAAAUAAAGAUAACAACAGGCGAGAACUGGGACACGAUCUUCUUAUAGUUGGCUUAUUACCUGUAUCUGUAGAAUUAUUUAUUUCCUUAAACCUGUUUCCUUUUGUACUUUAUGACAUUUCUGUGUAACUAAAGUAAGAAUCUGAGAGAACUCUAAACUGAUAUUUAUAGAUCCUACCCUCAAAA
Molecule: long non-coding RNA, 2367 nt
Filed under: Homo sapiens (human)
Lineage: Eukaryota; Metazoa; Chordata; Mammalia; Primates; Hominidae
Description: non-protein coding lnc-U2SURP-3:12
Source: RNAcentral